Molecule: ribosomal RNA, 2127 nt
Filed under: Duganella margarita
Lineage: Bacteria; Pseudomonadati; Pseudomonadota; Betaproteobacteria; Burkholderiales; Oxalobacteraceae
Description: partial 23S ribosomal RNA
Rfam family: Bacterial large subunit ribosomal RNA
Source: RNAcentral
GUUAUAGGGACAAGUGAAUAAGUGCACAUGGUGGAUGCCUUGGCGAUUACAGGCGAUGAAGGACGUAGUAGCUUGCGAUAAGCUGCGGGGAGCUAGCAAACAAGCUUUGAUCCGCAGAUUUCCGAAUGGGGAAACCCGGCCUUUUAGGUCAUCACUCACUGAAUACAUAGGUGUGUGAAGCGAACGCGGCGAACUGAAACAUCUAAGUAGCUGCAGGAAAAGAAAUCAACCGAGAUUCCCAAAGUAGUGGCGAGCGAAAUGGGAAGAGCCUGCACGUGAUAGUCGGACUGAUAAUGGAAUGCUCUGGAAAUGGCAGCCACAGCGGGUGAUAGCCCCGUACAUGAAAUCAGACCGGUGGUACUAAGCGUGCGACAAGUAGGGCGGGACACGAGAAAUCCUGUCUGAAUAUGGGGGGACCAUCCUCCAAGGCUAAAUACUCGUAAUCGACCGAUAGUGAACCAGUACCGUGAGGGAAAGGCGAAAAGAACCCCGGGAGGGGAGUGAAAUAGAUCCUGAAACCGUGUGCAUACAAACAGUAGGAGCGGACUUGUUCCGUGACUGCGUACCUUUUGUAUAAUGGGUCAGCGACUUACAUUCAGUGGCAAGGUUAACCGCAUAGGGAAGCCGUAGAGAAAUCGAGUCCGAACAGGGCGCUAGUCGCUGGGUGUAGACCCGAAACCAAGUGAUCUACUCAUGGCCAGGAUGAAGGUGCGGUAACACGCACUGGAGGUCCGAACCCACUAAUGUUGAAAAAUUAGGGGAUGAGCUGUGGGUAGGGGUGAAAGGCUAAACAAACUUGGAAAUAGCUGGUUCUCUCCGAAAACUAUUUAGGUAGUGCCUCAAGUAUCACCAUCGGGGGUAGAGCACUGUUAUGGCUAGGGGGUCAUCGCGACUUACCAAACCAUUGCAAACUCCGAAUACCGAUGAGUGCGAGCUUGGGAGACAGACGUCGGGUGCUAACGUCCGGCGUCAAGAGGGAAACAACCCAGACCGCCAGCUAAGGUCCCAAAGAUUGGCUAAGUGGAAAACGAAGUGGGAAGGCUAAAACAGUCAGGAUGUUGGCUUAGAAGCAGCCAUCAUUUAAAGAAAGCGUAAUAGCUCACUGAUCGAGUCGUCCUGCGCGGAAGAUGUAACGGGGCUAAGCCAGUCACCGAAGCUGCGGAUAUGCGUAAGCAUAUGGUAGGAGAGCGUUCUGUAAGCCUGCGAAGGUGUCUUGUAAAGGAUGCUGGAGGUAUCAGAAGUGCGAAUGCUGACAUGAGUAGCGAUAAUGGGGGUGAAAAGCCCCCACGCCGUAAGCCCAAGGUUUCCUGUUCAACGUUCAUCGGAGCAGGGUGAGUCGGCCCCUAAGGCGAGGCAGAGAUGCGUAGCUGAUGGGAAGCAGGUUAAUAUUCCUGCACCGUCGUAUGAUGCGAUGGGGGGACGGAUCGCGGAAGGUUGUCUGCCUGUUGGAAUAGGCAGUUUCUGCUUCAUAGAAGGCGCUUAGGCAAAUCCGGGCGCGUAAUUCAAGGGAGUGGGACGAGUGCACUUGUGCACGUAGCAAUCGGAAGUGGUUCCAAGAAAAGCCUCUAAGCUUCAGUCAUACGAGACCGUACCGCAAACCGACACAGGUGGGCGAGAUGAGUAUUCUAAGGCGCUUGAGAGAACUCGGGAGAAGGAACUCGGCAAAUUGGUACCGUAACUUCGGGAAAAGGUACGCCCUUGUAGCUUGGCUGAUUUACUUCAGUAGGGCGAACGGGUUGCAAUAAACUGGUGGCUGCGACUGUUUAAUAAAAACACAGCACUCUGCAAACACGAAAGUGGACGUAUAGGGUGUGACGCCUGCCCGGUGCUGGAAGAUUAAAUGAUGGGGUGCAAGCUCUUGAUUGAAGUCCCAGUAAACGGCGGCCGUAACUAUAACGGUCCUAAGGUAGCGAAAUUCCUUGUCGGGUAAGUUCCGACCUGCACGAAUGGCGUAACGAUGGCCACACUGUCUCCUCCCGAGACUCAGCGAAGUUGAAAUGUUUGUGAUGAUGCAAUCUACCCGCGGCUAGACGGAAAGACCCCAUGAACCUUUACUGUAGCUUUGCAUUGGACUUUGAACCAAUCUGUGUAGGAUAGGUGGGAGGCUUUGAAGCGGGAACGCCAGUU